This is a long non-coding RNA of Thamnophis elegans (Western terrestrial garter snake), 346 nucleotides long. RefSeq lists it as uncharacterized. NCBI's taxonomy places the organism in Eukaryota, Metazoa, Chordata, Lepidosauria, Squamata, Natricidae. The transcript has 4 exons. The record is from RefSeq and is a predicted model, not a curated record.
CAGGAUGUAUCUGAAGACUUUCUGACCAAGGUGCUUGAUCUAACCCUCGCCAGAUCAGGAUUGACUCCAGAUCCUCUCCGAUACCAGAUCCUGAUAAAUAAACGUCAUUCCGUCUCUUUGGGAGACAUUUGAAGAUGCUACAAGAAGCAGCCAUGGAUUCUCAAAUUUUCCUUUGGUUUUUUGCUUGUUGGGUUUCUGUGAAUUUUGUAUCAGCAUCAAAAAUUCAAGCCCAUCUGGAUGAAGCUAUGGAGUACUACGAAGGGCACAUAAACUCAGGAUGCACUUCCAACGGGACAAGGACAAUUCUUGGGAAAUUGGAGGAGAUUAUGAUGGAAGUCCAUUUCGA